Molecule: ribosomal RNA, 252 nt
Filed under: uncultured bacterium
Lineage: Bacteria
Description: partial 16S ribosomal RNA
Rfam family: Bacterial small subunit ribosomal RNA
Source: RNAcentral
CGUAGGGGCAAGCGUUAUCCGGAAUCAUUGGGCGUAAAGCGCGUGUAGGCGGUUCACCAAGUCCGCUCUGAAAGCCCAGGGCUCAACCCUGGGAGGCGGGUGGAUACUGGUGGACUAGAGUCCGGAAGAGGAGAUUGGAAUUCCUGGUGUAGCGGUGAAAUGCGCAGAUAUCAGGAGGAACACCAACAGCGAAGGCAGAUCUCUGGGACGUGACUGACGCUGAGACGCGAAAGCGUGGGAGCAAACAGGAUU